GGAUUGUGGCUCAGCGGUAGAGCACUUGCCAAGCAUGCAUGAGGCACCAGGUUCGAUCCUUGGCACCA
RNAcentral lists this transfer RNA (68 nucleotides) under Marmota monax (woodchuck). RNAcentral's name for it is "tRNA.Ala". Lineage: Eukaryota; Metazoa; Chordata; Mammalia; Rodentia; Sciuridae. The record is from RNAcentral.